RNAcentral lists this ribosomal RNA (447 nucleotides) under uncultured bacterium. RNAcentral's name for it is "bacterial SSU rRNA". It matches the Rfam family "Bacterial small subunit ribosomal RNA", at positions 329 to 792 of the family's 1533-position model. The record is from RNAcentral.
UGCCAGACUCCUACGGGAGGCAGCAGUGGGGGAUAUUGCACAAUGGGGGAAACCCUGAUGCAGCGACGCCGCGUGAGGGAAGACGGUUUUCGGAUUGUAAACCUCUGUCUUUGGGGACGAAUUGAGACGGUACCCAAGGAGGAAGCUCCGGCUAACUACGUGCCAGCAGCCGCGGUAAUACGUAUGGUGCAAGCGUUAUCCGGAUUUACUGGGUGUAAAGGGAGCGCAGGCGGCACGGCAAGCCUGAUGUGAAAGCCCGCGGCCCAACCGCGGGACUGCAUUGGGAACUACCGGGCUGGAGUGCCGGAGAGGUAGGCGGAAUUCCUAGUGUAGCGGUGAAAUGCGUAGAUAUUAGGAGGAACACCAGUGGCGAAGGCGGCCUACUGGACGGUGACUGACGCUGAGGCUCGAAAGCGUGGGGAGCAAACAGGAUUAGAUACCCCCGUA